CAGAACAUCAAAGUGCUACGCCAGAGGAUAAUCGAUGAAUUUAAAGGAAGCAGCCUGAAAUAAUUCGUAACACAGUACGCCACAUGCACAAACGAACCAUUCUUUGCGUCGAACGAAAUGGGGAACACGUUGAAGGGCAUGGCACAUAACUUUUAAUUUCAUAUAAAAUAAAAACUGAAACCAUUUAAUAUUUGUGAAAUCGUUUCGCUUUACUUUCGUCGUGUUAGAUUAUUU
Non-coding RNA from Paramuricea clavata, 234 nucleotides. The record is from the annotation of a GenBank genome assembly. NCBI's taxonomy places the organism in Eukaryota, Metazoa, Cnidaria, Anthozoa, Malacalcyonacea, Plexauridae.